GAAAUGCGAUAAGUAAUGCGAAUUGCAGAAUUUCCGUGAGUCAUCGAAUCUUUGAACGCACAUUGCGCCCCCUGGCAUUCCGGGGGGCAUGCCUGUCCGAGCGUCAUUGCUGCCCUUCAAGCCCGGCUUGUGUGUUGGGUCGUCGUCCCCUCCGGGGGACGGGCCCGAAAGGCAGCGGCGGCACCGCGUCCGGUCCUCGAGCGUAUGGGGCUUUGUCACCCGCUCGAUAAGGACCGGCCGGGCGCCAGCCGGCGUCUCCAACCUUUUUUUCUCAGGUUGACCUCGGAUCAGGUAGGGAUACCCGCUGAACUUAAGC
Molecule: unclassified non-coding RNA, 316 nt
Filed under: plant metagenome
Description: partial contains 5.8S ribosomal RNA, internal transcribed spacer 2, and large subunit ribosomal RNA
Rfam family: 5.8S ribosomal RNA (bases 1-106)
Source: RNAcentral